AAAAAACUCUUAAGUUUCACAUUUGCCAGAAUGACACACGAUUAUUACGUCAAAAUUCAGGUAUGGUGGUUUAGACUUGCACCAACUGUUUUAUAUAUUGAUAUUGUCAUCUAUAUUUCUCCCUCCAGGAUGUGAAAGCCAUGUUCAGGUGAAAAACGUGCGGUAUGUAUAAAUAUUCAGCCAAGUUCGACAGACAUAGGGAAAUUAAAUACAUGUAGCAUCAGUUGUGGGGGUCUGUAGACAAUCUGUUUCGAGGCUACAUAGCCGUAGCGUAUCCUCUUUUUCAAAUAUACAUUCAAUUAUGGGCUGGUAAUCCUUAUCCAUCAUAUUAUAGGUCCUUCAAUUUCCUGUUUUGAUUUAAUUUAAUUGCGCUCGACUUGAACACGCUUACAAUACUAAUAUUUUUUAUUUGCAUGUUUUGGUGGGAAGUUAAUGUUACUCUAGAAUCUGUCAGUUAAAUGACCAUUUUUAGAUAACGAUUUGAAUUCUAUGAUAAAGUUUUAAUUUAAGAGCAUACAAUCUAUUGCAGGAUUAUGGCCACUAAUUGGAAUGUUUGUGGUGUUUGUGAAAAUCUUCAGAUUACCAAACCUUCAGUAGUAUGGUGUUCCGAAUGUGACGAAGGACUAUGUGGAGAGUGUAAGAAACAUCAUGCAGUUUCUAAGGGAACAAAAAGCCAUGAAACCGUUUCUAUCGCCGAAUACAAAAACUUACCCACCGAAGUCCUGCAAAUCUCUCAGACCUGCAAACUUCAUAAUGAGAAAUACGAGCUGUUCUGUACAAAACACGAUUGUCCAUGCUGUAAAAAAUGUGUGAAAUCUCACAACGAUUGUAAAGGUUUAACUGACAUUAAUGAACUCAUAAAAAACGUCAAAACUUCAAACGCAUUAAAUGAAAUCGAACAAACCAGUGCAGGAAGUCGUCGAGAAUAUUAAACGACUAAGCACGAACAGGAAUGAAAAUUUAAAAUCUAUAGAAAACAAGAAAAGAGAAAUUGAAGCAGAAAUAAAACAAACCAGGAUACAAGUAAAUCACCACCUUGAUAAACUUCAGGAUGACUUAAUUAAAGAAUUACUGAGAGAGUUGAACAACACGAAAAAAGCAUAAUAGAAAACUUGCUGACUACUCUGAAAAAAAAGGAAAAAGAGAUGACUGAAGUACAAGAAAACUUUGUCACUAUUAAACAACAUGCGUCCGAACUUCAAACAUUUUUAACCAUGAAAGAUAUCGAAAAAUAUAUUGUAGGUGACGAAAAGUGUAUUCAAUCGAUUACUACGAGUGACUCCACACAUCAAGUCAAUAUUUCAUGUCAGAUUAAUAAGUCUUUACAGCAAAUAACAGCCAACGUGCAGAAGUUUGGAGAAAUUAUUGUCAAUGCUGAUCCAUGUGAUUUUUCCGUUCAGAAAAGGAAGGACAGACAAGCCCAGAUUAUGGUAGCUCUUCCAACCAAAAAUAUCGAUAACCUGACUCUGACAUUACAGAAUCGUAUCGAUACAAAGUUGUCAGGUGUCUGUGGCUGUUCACUGCUUCCUGAUUGUAGAAUGGUAUUCUCCUCUUUUAAUGACGAUAAAAUAAGAGUAUUUAAGUCUGACGGAUCAAAAGAUUUCGAAAUAAAGGACAUUGGUAAAACGUAUGAUGUGGUAUUUAUUGGUGAUGAUUCUAUUGCUGUUACAUUCGGCGAGUCAAAAAAGAUUAAUAUAAUCGACUUAAAGACCCACAAACUGAAGAAAUCGAUAAAAGUUGAUUCAUACACUGGUGGAGUAACAUACAAAAAUGGACAUUUAAUAUAUUGUGCCAGAGAAAAAGGAAUACAGAUGCUCAGUUUAAAUAACGGAACCAUUACCAAUGUGAGCAGUACCAAACUCCCACACUACGCGUACGUAACAACAUUCGGUGAAAAACUGAUCUACACAAAUAUGAACAAUAACAGUGUAACCUGCUGUGACUACCAUGGUAACAUACUGUGGAAUUUCUGUGAUACAAGUGCUCUUCCAUUUCCAGUGGGUAUAUCUGUAGACAAUGAUGGUAACGUGUAUGUAGCGGGGUAUUCUACUUACAACGUUGUCGUUAUCUCUCCUGAUGGACAGCGCUGCAGACAAAUUCUCACACGUGAAGAUGAUUUUAGCGAGCCAUGGACUCUGCAUUAUGACACAUCGACCAAUGAAUUGUUAGUUGCUAAUGAAUCCAAUGAAGCAUUUUUGUAUGAUGUUAAAUGAUUAGAAAUGAGGAGUGCUUUUUCCAGAAUUCAAUUUUUUUUUUGUUGAUCUCGAUUACUAACAUCCUUUAAAAGGAAUAAUACUAAUUUUGUGUGAUCUAAUUUAGAUUUGUUUAAAGUUAUUUUUUAGUGUUACUAACUGGCUGCUUCUGUUUCUGUUUUGGCCCCAUCAUAGAUUCGAGUUUAUUUGUAUUGAACCCGAAUCCUGAAGACAGCUUAUCGAGAAUCUAGAGACAAAUAUUAGAGAAAAAAUUAACUACUUACGAUUCAUUAUAAUUUAUAGGUACACGUUUAGGUGAACUACGUUGGUAUACAUAAACAUUUUCAAUAAGGUUUAUAUUUGUAAGGAUUAAACUAAAAUUUGAAGAAAACGCGAAAUAUAAUUGAGAUGCGGGAUAUACGUUAAAGAGACCAGAACCCAACGUCGACAAGAUAUAGUGGAGUGACAAAUCACGAAAAAGGUGCUUAUUUUACGAGUUUAAUGGACCGGCAUACCUGCAGGCUGAAAAUUACAUUUUUGCAAAGCCAAUACAUUAAUCUAACUUUUUUGCCCGAUCGUAGACAUUUCGUACGGUGCAAUUUUUUUGGAGAGUGAAAAGAAAAUGAAUUUUUGAUUUUAACUUGAAAUGCAUUCCAAAAACAUUUUUUAACAUGAUUUCAUUUUAAUAAUCCACAAACUCUUAAUUUUGGAUUUUAUUAAGAGAGUUACUACACAUGUAUAUUAUAAAAUGAAAUUUUUUCUAUUGAAACUUAUUUUUUAACUUUUUUAUCCCCUUUGAAAAAUGCAUACUUUUUUUUUUAUUUGAACGGAGAGGUUACAAAACUUGUAAUUCAUAAUUUAUCGAUAUAUUACAAAGUGUUUUAUGUGAAAAGUAAUAAAACUUCAUUUUCUAAACUUAUGAGACCAACUUCAGCUCAUUCGGAUGAGUAUAUCUAUAUUUUUAGCAAUUUAUAAACAUUGCUAUAAAAUUAAUUUAUUUUUAAUUCCUUACCGAUACGCAGUAUUAUUACUUUUGAUCUUCUAAAAUCUCUUGAACGUGGCAACCAAAUGGUCAAGUCUUUUGUCGAAGGUUGCUUUAAUGAAGGUGAAACCGUGUUUUCUACAGUCCUAUUUCGAGGUCUCCACUAAAGACAUUUGAGGAUAUGACUAAGACUUCAAAACUCAGAUGUAAAACAGGUGACUUUGUGAAAGCCCAUAUAAACCCAGAGAUGAUAUUUCGUCUCGCUUUAGCCCUGGCUAAUGUUCGAGAAGAUGUUACAGUAGACAAGAUCUUGGCAUAUUCUAUUGGUUAAAUACCUUCAGCACUUUUCCACGAUGAUGGUACCAUGCGUGAGUGUUGCAAAUCAGAUAUAAUUCACCUACUUGAAGAGGAAAUCUGCUCUUCCUUCAACCUUCCAAGUUAUGACACAGCAAAUACAGUUUUGAUACGUGAUGGUAUGGGAAUUAUAAAAUGUAUGGAUGUCAAGAAAUGCAACACAUUUGGUGAUCCGCUACGAAACUAUGUAAAAAUGCUUCUGACGUGUUUUUAAAAUGCUGGAACAGUGGUCGAUGUUUUUGAUCGCUACGAUGUAAAACAUUCAAUCAAAGCAGCGGAAAGAUUGCGUCGAACCUUGUCAUUUGGAGCUCAAACGGUUUAUCAGGUUAUUAAAGGAAGAGCAAUUCCGGACUGGAAAAAGUUCAUUUGCAAUCGAGAAAAUAAACAGUCACUUAUCAGAUUACUUGGUGAGUAUUGCGAACGGUAUUUUGGACAGUCUCCUUUAGAGGGAGGUACCGAAUUGUUUCUCGCGGGUGUUUUUGAAAACCCAGAAGUUGUCAAGAGAAUUUCUUGUGAUGGCCUGUCAAAUUGUACUGACUUAUACAGCACACAAGAAGAAGCAGAUACACGAAUGAUUCUUCAUUCGGUGUAUGCAGAUGCCAAUAUUUUUUCGAAUGAUAGAAAAGGUCGUAUUAUUAUAUUUUUAAGUCAUCUGACACUGAUGUGUUAGUGCUCUGUGUCCACUAUUUUCCUAAACUUGAAAAUACAGAGGAGAUGUGGUUCCAAACUGGGUCAGUAUCAAAUUUGAAAGAUGGAAGGCGUUUUCUACCUGUUCACGAUAUAUGUCGCUCACUUGAACCCUCAAUCUGUAAUUUACUGCCCGCCACACAUGCCCUCACAGGAUGCGAUACAACUUCUUUUUUGGGUCUCGGAAAGAAGUCUAUGUACAAACUUUUGCAGAAAAGUGCAGACAAUUUCAAAUCCCUUCAGAUAGGUUUUUCAACGGGAGAUCAGGAAUCCGCCAUUCAUGAUGGACGCAAAUUUGUUGCAUUGUUAUACGAUCCGAAGAGAAAAUUCAGUGAUUUACAUGAAGACCUGAACAAGUUAAGGGUGAAAUUUGCCACAACAAAAGAUAUGAAUCUUGUUAGAUUGCCCCCAUGUGAGGCGUCCUUUUACAACACAUCCUUCGUGCAAUGUUACAGACGCAAGUUUGGAUUCAUUCACACAUUGCAAAACCAGCAACCAGACAGCCCAAAACUCUUGUUGGCAAGAGGGUAAAAAUGGUUUACUACCGAUUUUGUUUGAAGGACCUAUGUCAGCAGAUUUCCUUCAAGACCUUAUUUGCACAUGCAAGGGUAAAAAAGGCUUGCAAUAAAAAUUGUGUCUGAAACCAGCAAAAUCUAGGUUCUACAACUAUUUGUUCGUGUGAAGGUUCUGAGAGUUGUAGAAACUAUCCUACUCACAUUCAAAUUAGUGAAGAAGAUGACGAUGAAAAUGGCGUCUGAGUGAAUCAUGUAAAGCUGUAUAUAUUCAUGACAAUAUUUUUAACAACAUGAUUACAGUUGGUUUCUUUGUGGUUAAUAUCACUUCGACUAUGCGAUUAUUUGAACCUGUGUAUUUUUUGUUUGGUUCUUUGUUUUUGUGUAUGUUUUGUUUUGCAUUUGCAACUGCCCUUUAUGACUGACCACUUUUUUUUGUUUUAUGGGUUUCAUAAAAUUGAGAAAGGAAAUGGUGAAUAUGUCAAAGCGACAACCACCCGACCAUAGAGCAAACAACAGCCGAAGGCAACCAAUGGGUCUUCAAUGUAGCGAGAAUUCCCGCACCCGUAGGUGUCCUUCAGCUGGCCCCUAAAAUAUGCAUAAUAGUACAGUGAUAAUGGACGUCAUACUAAACUCCGAAUUAUACACAAGAAACUAAAAUUUAAAAUCAUACAAGACUAACAAAGGCCAGAGGCUUCAUGUAUGCAUAGCUGUCCUGCAAUAAGGGAAAGUUUGUUUUUCUAUCCGUAAAAUAUGUAUUUUUAUUGGAGUACACAUAACAAUUACGCAUUGGAAUUAAUUGUUUCGAUCUCAUUCACAUACCUUUGGUGAACUAUGUGCCACUGAGAAAUGGCAUAUACCAUACCAGAAGCAUAAUUUACUCUCUUUUAAUUUGAAAAAAACGUAUAAAUCAAAAAUACAUCGUAAAAUGUAUAUGUGAAGAAAAAAUACCAAUUAAAGGUCAUAAACAUGUUUAUCUUGUGUGUAAAUAUUGUUGCUGAUCUGAAUUUUCUUUAAAAUCGCCAUUUUUUUAUUUAUUUUUUUGGAUAGUGAAUUGUUACAGUUUAUUGCUUCAUUUAAGAAUUAAAUUUUGUUUAUUAAAGCAAAUGUGAUAUUAUUUUUUUGAUUGUUCAUAUCCCCGUGUGAAAUAAAUUUACUUCGGUGAAAAAAUCAACCACUGCACUUCAACCCCAAAUUAACCAAAAAUGCACCAUAUUUCGAUUCUACGACCAUGCAAACAUUAAACUUUAAUCAUUUCUCUAUCCAAAAAUGUAUAAUUUAGCCUGCAGGUAGGGUGGUCCACUAAAGUUGAAAAUUCAUCGACUUUGUCACUCCACUAAUACACUAUAAAUACACCACCAGACAUUCAACAUGAAUGAAACAAAAUGGUGGGUCUAUGUAAGUGAGACAACAAUCCGUGGCAUGAUUGUCAAUCAGAAGAUGUGGUAUGAUUGUCACGAAGGAGACUUGGCUUGAUUUUCAAUAAUGAGAUGUGGUAUGAUUGUCACGAAGGAGACUUGGCUUGAUUUUCAAUAAUGAGAUUUGGUAUGAUUGUCACGAAGGAGACUUAGCUUGAUUUUCAAUAAUGAGAUGUGGUAUGAUUGUCACGAAGGAGACUUGGCUUGAUUUUCAAUAAUGAGAUGUGGUAUGAUUUUCCAUAAUGAGAUGUGGUAUGAUUUUCCAUAAUGAGUGGUAUGAUUGGCAAAGUAGUAAUUGUAAAUAUAAAUAAACAGUAAGAUGUGAUUUGAUUGUCAAUAAGAAGAUAUGGCAGGAUUGAUAAUGAGUAUGUGUGGCUAGAUUGAUAGUUAUAAGAGACCGUAAACCAAAGACAACAUAUAAUGAAAAGAAUCAAUAUGAAUAUAAGACGUUGUAUGAUUGCCUUUAAAAAGAUACAUUCUAUGGGUAUAAUUGAUAGUUAGGAGAGGCAGUAACGAUUGUCAAAAAGCUGAUGUGGCUUUAAUGUUAUUAAGGAGAUGUUGUCUACUAAUCAUUAAAGAGAUGUAGUUUAAAGGUCAGUGAGAGAUGUGACUUGAUGUCAAUAAGGAGAUGUGGCUUGCAGUUUUAUAAGGAGAAGUAGCUUGAUUGUCAAUCAGGAGAUGUGGUUAAAUUGUCAAUAUUGAUAUGUGGCUUGAAGCUCAAUGAGGAGAUGUAGCGCAAAGGUCAAUAGGGAGCUGUGGCUUGUUAUUUGAUAAGGAAAUGUGGCUUGAAAGUCAAUAAGGAUAUGUUGAUUCAUUAUCAUUGAGGAGCUAUGGCUUGAUUUUCAAUAAUAAGAUAUGGCUUGUAGGUCAAUAUGGAGACGUGGUUUCAUUAUCAUUUGAGAGAUGUGGCUUGACUGUCAAUAACGAGAUGUGGCUUGAUUGUCAAUAAGGACAUGUGAUUUGUUUGUCAAUAAAGACAUGUGGUAUGAUUGUUAAUAAAGCAACGUGCUAAGAUUUUCAAGACAUACAUGUAAUUAGGAAAAUGUGGUAUGAUUGUAAAUAGGAAGACGUGGUUUAAGUGUAAAUAAAUAGACUUGGUUUAAGUGUAAAUAAAUAUACUUGGUUUGCGUGUAAAUAUUAUUUGGUUUAAAAAAGAGACGAAAGAUACAAAAUGGACAUUCAAACUCAUAAAUCGAAAAUAAACUGACAAUGGCAUAGCAAAAAACAAAAACAAAAAUAGACCAACAGACGUAAAUUCAAACCGAAUGGCCUACAUUUCACAUAACCUGAUUCUCUGAACAAUCACUUGACAUAAAGUUAUCCCCAUCCAACAAGCUUGAAAUAAAAUUAUACUUAGUUUAAUGAAAACAUAAAUCAUUUAAUAAUAAUAAUAUCUAAAACAAAAAAUACUAUUAUUAAAGCUAAACUAAUGAUUUACAGACAUUUUCAUUUUGCUAGCUUUACAGGUAUCCUGUCAGUUAUGUGUUAUGCUAUUACCAGUUAUUUUAGGAACCUUAAAUCACAUUAUUUCUUGGUGACAUCCAGUAAUAUAUUUCUAUGUGUGACAACCAAUCAUUUCAUCAUGCUAAGUGAAAAUUAGCAGAAAGGAAAUUCACAAAAAUACCUGUCUCCGAGGAACAUUCAAAAGAAAGUCCGAAAUCAAAUGGCAUAAUCAAAAGCUCAAACACUUCAUGAAAAACAACUGUCAUAUUUUUGACGUGGUACAGGGCUUGUUUUAAAGCUAGCUAAACCUCUUACUUUAUGACAGUCGCAUCACAAGAAGUUUUUCUGUACUCUAAAUCAUCUCUUAAAAAAUCUUCACGCUAAGAAUCCUUUUAUUACUUUUGAAACUGUCCACAAUAUUAUACUUGCCCUCUUUUGCUUUUUUAUCGUGUUUUAAAGUAGCUUUAUAUCACUGAAUAUAAUCAAGUGUAUAUUCUGUAACUAUAUCUACAGAUAGAUAGACAAAUACUAAUGUACAAUGUAUUUUAAAGAUACAAGCGAAAAAUAUUAUAAAAAAAACACACUGUUUAUCAACGCUUAAUUAUGUAACAUGUUUCAAUUUUACAUUUUUUUUAUAGAACUAUUUUGAUAGUAUUGAUUCAAUUGCACCGUUAGCUAAAUUAUUCGAACAAAACGAUGAAAUUAUAAUUUCAUUAAUUUCCAAGUGACGUUUUGUUCUCAUUAUCUUUAUGUUGAUCGGAUUGAAACAUAUCAUUUUGAUAUCAUCACAGUAAUGGUGAUAUAUAAAAGUAACUGAAAUGAAAAUUGUUCAAUUAGACAAAAUAUUUACUAGAACUAAAAAGGAAUUUUGGAAUGGGAAAAUAAACUAGAGAUUUUCAGCAUACUCUGAAUCAUGCAAAAUGCAAUGUGAAACAUAUUUUUCUUUGUAAACCUGUCAUAACAGAUCAAAGGAUCGGUGUUACUUAUUGUCUAUUCUCUUCUAAAAGAAUGCAUGUAGUAACACUUUUAACAAUUUGUCUUUUGAUCAGAUUUAAAAUUGAUUACCCCUUCCAAGCAUAAACUUUUACCGGAUGUUAAGGAAGAUAUGGAUGAUGAUGACCAUCUAAAUAAUACUAACUUGUGCCAAAUCUUGGUUUUUUUGUGUGUGAUAUUUUUCAAAUAAAUUGUGUUUAAAAUAAAAGUACAAAAUGGCAAUACAUAACAAAUAAAAAUUUGAAAGACACAUUUACGCGUAACAAGACAAACGGAAUAUAAUUAAUCACCUUUCUUCUGAACUCAACAAUUAAAAAUUAACAGCGAACAAAAAGCCGGAAGUGAUAUCAUUCUUGUCAUGUAAAAUUAUGAAGGCGCAUCGUUUUUGAAAAUUUGAUUUGCACCAUCAAAAUGUCUCAAUUAUUUCAUUAUUUCAUGAAUAAGUGAACCUUGUCGUUAUAAUUAUAACGUUUAUAGUUCUUUAUUUUAAUCAUACAAGAUUUGGCAUCAUAGAUGAUCUGUGAAUGUGUCUGAACUCUUUACGAAAUUAGGUAAGUCUUGAAUCAUAUGUUCACUUUGAUACUUUUAACUUUAAAUGCAUAAUCAAAAGUUAAAGGUUUUAACUCCUUCAGGUAAAGCUAAUAUUUAAUAUUGAUGUCGUUUUUGGUCUUCACCUGUUUUGUUCUGAUAACAAAACAUGGUAAACAUGUAUUAUUUUGAAAAACCGCUAUGAAGAGAUUUAAUUUUACAGCAAUAUAUAUGUCAAAUAAAAUUGGGAAUGGAAAUGUUGAAUGUAUGAAAGAGAAAACAACCUGAUCAAAGAGAAGACAACAGCCGAAGGCCACCUUAGGGUCGUCAAUGCAGCGAGAAAAUCCUGCACCCGGAGGCGUGCCCUAGCUGGCCCCUAAACAAAAAUGACUACUAGUUCAGUUAUGAAUGACGUCAUACUAAACUCCGAAAUAUAAAAAAAGACAUAAAAUCAAAAAUCAUCCCAGACUAACAAAGGUCAGAGGCAUCUGACUUAAAACAGAAGCAAAUAUGCAGUCGGGUUAAACAUGUGUUUUGAAAUCUCAACCCUCCACCUAUACCACUAGCCAAUGUAGAAAAAAUAAACACAAAACAAUACACACAGUUAAGCAAAAGAAGUCCGAGUCCGAUGUCAAAGUAGGUAACAAAAGAAAACAACUGUAAGACGACUUUUUAAAGGAGUUUUUGUCCAGGGAUGUUGACUAUUGACCAAAUAAAACCAAACUUAUCCAAAAUCAUGAUCGUGGUAUACAGUUUUUGAAAUGUGUAUGAUGCCUGAAAUUGUCAUGGUAUAGUUGUUCACCUUUAAGGAUGAUUUUUCUUAAAAGAAAAUUGGCACUGCUGAAAAUGAGGGGUACCUACACAGGCUCUUAGAGACUCUAGUUACAAUUUUGAACUGCCCGACUGCUCAAAGCCAAUGUAGAAAUAUUCCAUUUUGUAUACCGUUGUUACAUGUACAUGCAUUUCAUGAUAUCGGAUAUAACGAAAGCAUAGUAUGGUUUGGCUUCGAGAGUUAAGCAAAUCAUCUUCCUGGAAUUAUAGUCCGAAACGUUCAACCGCAUCAUAGGAAACUUUCUAUGAAAGAAUUAAACAAAUAUAAAUCCAAACCAUUAAUUCUAUAUAAUUCCUCAGAAGAAGAGUUUGCUCAAAAAAAUUCUGAUUGCAUAGUAAAACCAAAUUUAAUUAAAUUUAAGUAAUGUAUUCUUAAAAUGAGAAGAUGGUGUACAAAAAGAAGAUCAAUAACAUGAAAAAGCCAACCCUACUCACAUUAUUUUCCUCGAAAACAAAACCAUAUCUAUCUUUAACAUACAAGGAUGUGAAGCGAAUAGCGUUUUAUUCUCACACGCCAUGUUAUGUUAAACAGAGUCCAGAGUCUCCUUCAAUUUCCGUUUGCAAUCUAGGUGCAUCAGAUUACUUCUCUGUAUUUUGGACAAUCCAAUCCAGCUUAAGAGUGUCGACCGAUUCGUCACUUCGUUCAAUCAGAAGCAUGUUCGAAACUUUAAAACAAUGCUCUAUGUCUUUCCUUCAAAGUUUUAAAUUGAUGGACUAGGCGAACGGCUCUAGUUAAACUGAAGUUGAAAUAUUUAUUUAUUUUUGGAAGGCCCAGACGAUCAAAUUCGGAUGAUAAAAUGAAAAUUUUAAAUGAUUUCGUAGAUUCCAUGGCGUACACACUUCAAUCUGCAGGAAAACGAGGUUCUUUGGUUUUCUGACCCUGAAAUUAACUCAAACAUUUCUGCUUCAAGCGAAACGUAUAUCGAUAUCUUUCUAACUGACCGAAAUGUUUAUGAUCUAGACGUAAAAAACACAACUGUAUCAUCCAAUCUUAACACUACUAUAAACGAGUUAAAGAAAAUGACACAAACGGGCGAUCUCAAUGGCAACAUAGGCGGGUUUUCUUUCAAGAUUCUAUCAUCACAAGGAUGCUUAGAUGCAAGCUGUGACACAUUGUUAUUCAAUGUAACUGCAAAUGAUAACGGUAUGUUAUUGUAGCAAAAUGUUAUGUUAUAGUAUAAUCCCCAUUCAGUAUUACAUUAAGCACAUAUAGUAUGCUUGACAAAACAACAAAUAACACCUAAUGUACAAAGGUAAUUUUUUUUUACAGAUUAUCACAUAGCCUUCAACAAUGAACAAACUCAUGUUGUUUGUAUGCUAUUAAGACUUACGACACAAUAUGACACAAUUAAUUCAUACUACAACAAUAAUAAAAGACACCAGCCAAAGAAAACUGCUGUAUAACAGGUCGCAUGAAAAAAAACUACAUCAUGGCUUUAAACAAAACUCAACGACGAAGAAAUUCACAAAACGUGAAAUAGAAAUCUACAUCUUUUUGAAAUCAAAAUGUGACACCUUGUUUCAUUUGUUAUAUUUGAAUGAGUCGCAUGUAAAAAGACAAGGAGUUGUUGAAAUGGUUAUUUUAUCUUAUCUCUCAAUAGCCCGCAACAGGUUCAAUGAUCAUAAAUGAUUUGUAACAUAUAUUAAGAAUGCGAGGUAUUAUCUUUUACCCUUGACUUUAUUUAAGGAGACACAGUGAAACUCGAGUAGACGACAACGUUUACUUAACAAAAGAGAUAACCGAUUUGUUUGAUAACGAGAACAGAAGAAUAAACAAAUUGUUAUAAAGGUUGACUUUUGUCGUAAACAUGUUGAUAACUGAGAGAGAAAUUAAGGUUAAACUCGUGGAUUUUUAAAAUCCAAAACAAAAUCGCUGCAGUUUUAUUUUGAAGAUAUUCGAAAAAAAGGUUAGCAUGUAAUAAAUUUAAUAAAACUAAUCUCAAACCGAAAUUUCAAUAUAAUUCAAACAGCUCUGUUUGAGCGAUUAUAUUGGUUGACAAUGUGUGUGAUAUGGGACAAAUACACAGUCAUGUACGGUAACCUAGAUACAUACUUUUUUUCGCGUUCAAUGAAAGAAUUCAGACUUUGGAUUGCUAAAAACUUUGAAACCGUGAUUCAUAUCGAUAUCAACCCUGUUAACUUAUACAGUCAUUACCAAUGUUUGCAUUACCCAUAAAAUUAACUGCAUUUACUACUAAUUGCUAAAUCAAAAUGGUUUAUAAUACAUGCAAUACUUAGAAACAAACUAAUUAUCCCGAGUCAGGAGCCAGUAGUUCGGUGGUGUGUUUAUUUUAUGCGUUUUUUUUUUUAUUAUUGUUUGAUUUUUAAUCGUGUUUAAUUUUUUUUACACUUUGACCUGAAUUAUCAUUGAUAUUUUGCUAUUCCUCAGAUGUGCUAUUUAUAAAAUUUUGAAAUAUAUAAAACUACGAAACACUAACGUUUAUUCACCCCCAGUAAUAGAUUGCCGUAGACCUUUUUAAAUCAGAUUUAUUUUGUUUGUAAUGCUCUUUAACUUCGUAUUCGAUUUACUCAUUCCAAUCAUACACAUAUUUUAUAUGAAAAUACAUAUCAAAGGACGUUUGACUCAAAGCAUCCAGCGCUGAUGUAUUAGUAUGAAAAAGACUCUAAACAAAAUAACAAACGAAUAGAAUUAUUGAUACUUCCAUAUUCAAGGAUAUACAUACGAUAUUUUCAAACAGUCGACAGUCAUCAUGAUCAUUUUACAAAGCAAAAGUGUUUUCCCACGAGGAAAUACUUGAUUAUUAGAAGUAAAUUUGCAUAUGUCAUCGCAACGAAAUGUUAAAGUCGUGUACAAUACUUGUAGUUUUGUAAUCAUAAAUCGAAUUAAACUAAAACCAAUUCUACAAAGUUAACGUGGUUUCCUUAAAUGUAAGUGGUUUUAUAUGGCGGCUAAAUUUUCGUGGGGGCUUUAAUUUCGUGGAUAUAUUCUUUUCACGAAAUAAAUGAAAUUCAAUCCUCCACGAAAAUUUCAAUUUUACAGUAUGGGUUCCCUCUGUUUUGGUUUUGUGACUCGCAUUUGUUUUAGUUUAAUUCGAUUUAUGACUAUUGAACAGCGUUAUACUUCUAUUGCCUCUAUAUAUCACCACACUACUUGGCCUUUUUAUUAUGUAGAGUAUUAUUCACUUUUAUAGCGUUUAUAUAUUUAAAGUUAUUAGUAACGCACAUGUAUAUUUAUAGAAUGCAGGCUUCAUUAUAAGGGAUAUGCUCUGUAAUUGAAACUGUCCUGAAAUACAAAUGAAAAAGAACGACUGAAGUCGACGCUUUAUUAUGGUCAUGGUCACCAACACGAAUUAGUUGACCAACACGAUGUAUCUUAUCAAUUCGGCAAGGGUACUAGAAUUAAUAAAUGUGUAUGCCAGACUCGCAUUUCGUCCACAACAGACCAACUAGUGGCUCUUGAAUCAAAAAGGGCAAACAAGGCAACAAAACAAAAGAUAUUUUAGAGCAAGGAAGACACAAUUCUGAAUAUAUUUGUCUUAAUUUACCACCACCAUAUUGGAAUAAGAUACCAGACUUUAAAUUUACCGAUGGGUUUUUUUCCGAUUUGACAUAUUAAAUAAGUGAUUGGCAUGAAGGAUAUGCAAGUACAGCAUUAAACGCCUUUUCUGUAGACGUAAAAAGGUUCCUUUUUAAAGUUUAUUUGUUUGACCUGAAUUUAUAUAUAUAGAUUUGUGAGAUUUAAACUUUGGUGAAAUAAAGUAACCUUGACAUAGAAUAUAAUUGUUAUUGGAAAUUACGAAUACAUUGAUUUUCUCCUUUUAUUUCUUUAUUCAUUAUUAUCUAUUUUUUACAAUAUUAUUUGCAGGCGUUAAAUGAGAUGGAUCCAUGUGUUUUUCCAAUUUGCUGGUUAUGGUUGUUAGUAUUGGGAUUUUCCUUUCAUUGUAAACAUGUAGGUGGACGAUAAUAACAAUGGAUCCUACCGUGAAUAAUAACAGCAUACAAACAAACCCAACAAAACAUAUUUCCAAAAAUCGCACAUUUAUAUUGGGGAACAUUUUCUCUAAAGAUAUUGAACUUAGAUAUGGACAAGUGGUGUAAAAUGAAAAUAAUACUUUUUUGAUUUCGUGAGUAUAAUAGGCGAGUGAUAUUUUCAGAAAAGACGCUUAGUUUGUGACUUUAAUGCACCCACCUAACACACAGCUGAUUUUUUUAUAUGUUAUAGUAUAAUAUCUGAACUUCCUUUUUUGGUCGGUCGUAAAAAAAAUCGUACGGUGCAAUUUUUGUAAAAAUUGAAUUGAAAUCGAGAAAUAAUUCCAAACUGAAAAAUGACCAACAGUGUUGAAGCGUGAAAAAUUAACAUGCAGCUUAAUUUUCUGUAGUCACAAUGCAAAAAUUAUGUACGUUUAACAUGUCAAUGUAUAAAAAAAAUACUUUUCGAAAAUAAAAGAGGUAAUUUUUGCGAAAAAAAAAAAUUUUUGUAACUUUUUUGGAUUGUUUUUAUAAAAAUGGUGCCAAUUUUCAUAUUUUUUUUCAUAUUUUAGAUAUUUUCGGCUUGAAACCCAAUUUAAUGAUGUUCUUAUCAUUCAAAAGUUCAUUACUCGUUUAAUAAAUAUUGUUAUCACUGUAUUAUUUUGGAUUUGAUACACUUUCACACACUCAAUCAAGUUUCCCUCAAGUUAACGGACCUAAACGCUUCGAAAAAGAAUAUGAAUAACCAUGAAGGCAAUUUUUUUGGUACAAAUAUUGUGCAAAGUAUUAAAAAAAAUCAAAGGACCAUAGAAGCUGAAACGUCAACGUUUUUUAGUCUUGGUGGAAAACCAAUAUCUUAUUAUUCUUAGUUAAUUUGCACUUACAAAAGGCAGAGAAUAUGAAUAACUAAUGAAAAAUAAUUCUUUCUCAAUUGAUCAAUGCACAUUUUAGUUUUGCAACUAAAAGUACGCAAAAAUGUGUCAAAUCUAAUAUUUUUCCCAUGAACUUGAACGUGAGAUAUGCCACCUUUUAAAUUUCCUACCGUUUUAACCAUCGCAUACGGUAGACUUAAUUAUUGAUGAUUCAAAUUUGGUCAGUAUUUAGAGGAAGCAUAGUGUAUGUGCUAGGGCCAAGCCAAGAGCCUGUAUGUUGACAUGCUAUAAAUACUUUAAUAUAUGGGGAUAUAUAUUCAUGCAGUUGACAAAUUUUUAAUUCUACGUAGAUAUUUGAAAUACAAUAAAUGAUUAAUUCUUCGUAUAUAUUUGAAAUACAAUAAAUGAUUAAUUCUUCGUAGAUAUUUGAAAUACAAUAAAUGAUUAAUUCUUCGUAGAUAUUUGAAAUACAAUAAAUGUGCUACCUCAGGCGUAUAUAUUACCUAAGUCGUACUUUAGAUAGGAUUACGUGUUUUUAAAUAUGCUUCGAAGUUUUACUUGGUUCGAGCGUCACCGACGAGUCUUAUGUAGACGAAACGCGUGUCUAACGUAAACAAUCGAUCAUAUGCCGGACAUCUUUCAAAUUAAUUUGUUAUUCAGUUUGGUUGUCGUUAGUUGCUUUCUAUGAUUUUUGCUUUUGUUUGUAGUUUUGAGCAUGAAUCAAGCUUUUGGGUAUCUAAUUAAAAUUGUUUUAGAACCUUUAUAGCUUAUCAUACAGUGUUGGCUAUUGCUUCUUGAUUUAGGCCAUACAAUAAGCUAUAGUUGUUUACCUCAAAGCAUUUAGUCUCUGGUAUACAAAGAUCAUAGUGUCCUUUUAAUCAUACUUAUCAAAGGUACCGGGCUUAUAAUAUGAUAUCUUCAGGCUUCUUAUUCUAAAUAUGGAUUAACAAUUUAAGAGGACUAAUGUCAGCGGGUCAACGAUGACCUGACACUUCGUUGUAUUCUAGACAUGGAACAACGUUCUGUGUGCUGGUUAUGAGUUCUAUAACCAGUGGGAAUUAUGGUUGGCGAUGCACCAUGUUUAUUGUGCAUGUAUAGUUUUUUUUAUUAUUAAAUAUAUGUUCCUUUACCAGCAGUUCAUGCUCUUUCAGGUUCUAACAGCUCAUCAUAUAUCUUUGUUCUUAAGAAAACUCUCUUUUAACGCUUUCGAAAUAAUCAAUAGAUAGCGGGUCUAUCACAAAUUAAACAAAAUUCAAAUUGACCCGUCUACAGAUCGGUGCUGCAAGAAAACUCUAAAGUGUUCGAAACCAAAAAUAAGUAUGUAUGAGUCUAAUUGAGACGAUUUGAGCAAGCUACAUAUCAGGCUUACAACCAAAACGAUUGCCAUCGUGUCACGCCUACCACUAAGUGCAUCAUCAUUCAAACUACAUGUUCUGAAAGCUAGCAAACAAAGUCAUGGCGUCAUAUAACAAACAAAUACGCCAGUAGGUUUACCCAUGAAUGAGUACGGAUGACAAAAGUGGUCUUAAUACGUCAUACUUUCUGCAGGAUUUGAUAAACUUGUUCUUGUGAAGGAAAAAUAUAUGAUAUGCAUUAGGGAGCUUGUGCAUGUACUGAAAUCAUUGAAAGCCUCUGCUACACAGAAUUAUUUCAGUAACAGCGUUAAAAAUCACAAAAUAAAAAAUUGCAUCAUUUGUAAUAAAUCAGAUAAAUUUCUUUUCUUUUAAAGAAAUAGAUUAUUCACAGAAACUCCUCCAGAAUGAAAAAAAAACUAUAUAUAGGUUUAGUCGAAUUAAAUUCCGCAAAUUCCACCUUCAUAUUAGUUGAAAAAUAUCUAUAUAUAUCUAAGUUUUGAAUACUGGUAAGAAAUCAAUGUUUGCAUUUUUAACUGCAAACCUUUUAACUGCACAAAUGUGAGUGAAAAUAAAUGCAGUCGUAAUAAAAAAAAAAUACGUUAAGAAAUUAAAGUGUUUGUAGAUUAUAUAAUCCCAAAUGUCAAAAUAAAGGUCACCGUGGGACCUAACUUUAGUUUGUAAAUCACCGCAUUUUGCAUCUGGGGUCAGUUUAACAACGAAUCUUAUGACUAAAACUGGUCGUAAGUAAUGAAUAGUCCAGUUUACUUACAAUUAAUCUUGUCUUACGUUUUUUUGUUAAACCGACUUCUGUAUCUGAAGUUUGGUAAACCUUAGUGUUGCAGCUAUAUAUGUCGCGGGCAGGAUUCCAUUAUGAUUGGAUCAAUAUCACAGUGACCUGAUUUUAGUUUAUGACCAUCCCCUAUUAUAUAAUGUAUAUUCAUACUUAGUUUGGAAAACCCAGGUUCAACGGUUCAAAAGAUAUGGACCGGACACAAACCAGACAAGCACGAAUCAAACAAUGUUUGAAAACUUGACGGCUCAAAUGUCAAUGCCAAUGUCAAAAUGAACUGAUUUAGUUUAUGAAGAACCACGUGCCAUCCCAUAAUACAUCUCUGAACUAAGUGUGUUUAACAUCAGUUAUAUAGUUCAAAGCAAUGCAUUUUAUGUUUGAAAGCAUUGGUGUUUGGAAGAGCUGUAUAUCUGUGUACAUGUAUAAGUUACCUGAUUUGAUUCGACACGGGCCACAAACAAGUGGGGACUGACUUAAAAUGUGAAUCCUCUUUAACUUUGCUUGUGGUUGUAUUAAACAUGUACGAUAGUGAUUUCCGAUCUUGACACGGUUUGUAGGCUGUUAACAAACAGGAGACUAUUGUCACUGUUGAUGUGACAAAGUCGUGUACAUUUUAUUCUCUUUAUUGCGUUGUUUUCUCUCCCUUUUACUCGUCCUACUUACAAAUAUUUAAUCAUAUUUUUCUUAUUUUGCAUGGCACACCAUCAAUUAUAAUAAAUAUAAACACAUGUAAGGUCAAAUAUUUGUUCUACGUCGUUUUUGUAGAAAGUACCGUUUACAUAUAGCAAAGUGAAAACGUCAAAAUGACGUCAAUUAUCGCCAAACCAUGAACGAUGUGCAACUAAGAAUCAGGGAGACGUUAUCAUAGUAUCGUGUAAAGUAACAUUUGAAAUAACUAUAUUACUUGCUGCUUCAAAUGAGACAAUAAUACUACAAAAGUGUUACUCUUUCAAUUUUUUACGAAUGACCUUUGACCCCAAUUUAAAAAAAAUUGCACCAUAUUUCACUUUUACGACCGGGAAAAAUGGAAUCUACACAUGUUUUCCUUUCGAAUGAUAUAUAAUAUAGCUGUGUGUUAGAUAGGUACAUUAAAAAUAUUUUUCAGGUCUGAAUGUCACUCGCCUAUAACACUGUAUUUUAUUUUCAAAAAUACAUUCCAAGGGCAAAUUGACAUAACAAACUAUAUUUGUAGCUGCCAUGAGUUUUCACAAAUAUUCUGUAGUUGCCACGAGUAUACACAAAUAUUCUGUAACUUGCAACAAUUGUUAGAAUAUGACUUACUUUUUGUUUGCAUAUAUUUUUAAUAAUGCCACAUCCUCAAAAUUUUAAUUUAACUCUACGUGCUUAAAUUUAGAUGUGUAAAAGUUUUUUAUAAAACAAUCUUGACGUAUUAACUUAUAAAAAAGUAAGAUUACGAUAUUCUUUAUCUUAUUACAUUUUUACUUGCAAAUAUCAACGCAGUAAGUGCUACUACUCAAGCAGGGUCACCCUUGUGUGGUUUUAUAAACUGCAUCAUAAAAAUAAAUGUCUCAAAUUCUAAAUCGAUUUUUAUGUUUUAUUUCAUCUUCUACAAUAUUUAUUUUUAUCUUGACUUUUGAAACUUUCGUUACUUUUUUUGAUAAAAUUUGUAACAUUGUAGAUCGAGUACGUCGAAAGUAGUUUGCUAGUGUUCAUUUUGGUAUAAUUUGGUUUUGCCAUUUGCUUAGGGAAUUCCGUUUUGAAUUUUCCUCCGAGCUCAGUAUUUUUGUGAUUUUACUUUCCAAUAAGAAGAGACAUGUCAGAUUGUAAAGAAAGGAAAUAUUAUGAACCCCCAAAGAAGCGAGGAAUGGUGUGUCGAUAAUGUAAGAGCUUUCUGUUGUGCAUGUAUUAACUAUCAUGUGAAUCCACACUGUUAUUGAUGAAUUAUAAAAACAAAUGCAGUACUUUUUUUCGAAAAGAAGGGCGAAAGUUACUAAUGAAACACUUAAAUUAAUUGAUGACAAACUGACGACACCAUGUCAACUAACAACAAUAUAGAAAAAAAAACCAAUUACAUGAACAAGAAAUCUUAUGACACGAACCCGAGAAAAAGAUUCCAGGUCCGGAAGGGUAACCAUAUUCUGAUCUAUAUGUCGUGUUGUUCAUGUAAACACACACUCGGUGAUUAGUCUAAUUAUGUGAUGCCACAUUCGAAUAAAAGAAAACGAUAAUUUGAUCAUAUUCGUCGUCGUCUGUGAAACAGAUAUUACAUUAUAAUCAACCACCCCAUGCAGUCGUCUGCAAAUUUUUCCAAAGAUGACUUUAACUUCACCACUUAAAAUCCUUGUUUAAGUACAGUAAAACAUUGAAAGUAAUAACCAUUCGUCAAGGUAAUCAUGAUAGGAAAUGAAGUUGCUGGAAAAUCGUAUCAACUAGGACAUAUACACUUCCAUAUCCAGGGGCUCCUUGGAUGGUUCUACAUCAACAUAAAAAUGUAUAACUUUGAAACCGAUAUUAUCUUUUUUGUGGUAAAAUUUUAUUUUUGACCGACUCUUAUUGUUUGAUUCCAGAUGAAAGUCAAUAUAUGAAAGCAGACUUAAGUGGAAUAUUUUAUACUUUUAUUUUGAUCUAAAUGGGAUAGAUGCAGUCAACAUAGUCAACAAAUGUUGAGGUGUUUUUUUUUGGAGAGUAUAACAUUAUUUAGCGGAACGUGAAGUUAGCGAAUGAUUUUUGCUUCUUUCCAUUAUUUUCAAGAAGCUUUUGUAUUAGGUCCGCCUCAUCAGAAUAAAUAGUCUGAUUGCUUAUAAACAAAACGAAAACGAAACAGAAGUUACAAACGAUAUAUCAAAUGUCUAACCUAAUGAUACGACCCAACGAAUUCUUCGUACUUUGCAUACAGAGUCUUUUAGUAAAAUAUCAAUACUAUAAUAUAAUAAAACAGCGUUAGAGUAAAUCCAAUGUUUAACCAAGUUUAAGAUACACAGUUAUAGCUAGAUGACUUUUGUGAAUAAGCCUGUGUGAUAAUCUUUUUUUUUCCUUUUUAAAAUUUAAUCAACACCCACAGUGCAGGCCAAAGUUUGCUGAUAUAAUAGAAUGUAAUUGUAUUAAUAAGAUAUACCUUCACCAAUAGAUAGCAAAGCGAGAAAAAAAUCAGUAUGCACAUAAAAACCAAAAUUUCUUCCAAGGUCAACCUUUCGUGAGUUUUGUUACCCGAAUUAGCACACACUCUAAUACUUAUACAUGUACAUAGUGACAAAAAUGUAAUCUCAAUAACGAACAAAAAAUUUAAUCUUCAGAUAUAUAUUUUUUUUAUAAAUGAUUAUACGAAAAGGAAUAAAUCAUAGGAUGGAUUGAUGAAAAAGGGGACAUACGAUAAUAAACAGAAACCAGGUUAAUCAGCUAUGUGAUACAGAUAAUUCAUUUUGACUUGAUAAAUAUUUACAACAUUAUUCUAUAUAUCUAUAGAAUUAUCUCCCCUGGCUUACAAACAUUAAAUCAUGUGACUCUUAUUACCUUCCUUUUCCACAGAAAUGUUCUAUUUAUAAGACUAAAUUAGGUAUGUAAUUUUAUCGUUUUAUCUCUGUAUUAUACACAAACAUCCACACAAACACACAUACUUUAACUGUGUAGUAGGUUUUUUUUAUACUUUUUUAUUUUAUUUUGAUCAACUUUCGUUUCAGUUGUUUUGUGAGAUAUGUUAGAACACGUUGAAUGUCUUACUAAUUAUGCCUAUUUCAACUAUGUUUUUAUUGUGUGCUUCUAUUUUUGUGGAAUUUUGUCUUUAUUGUUUCCGCGUAAUGCGUUGUUGGGACAUAGAAAUAUUGGGCGUCCUUAAAUACCGUCCUUCACUCCGUCCACACGUCUGUCCGUCCGGUCUUGUUUAAUAGCGCGCUCUUACUAAUAUCUACAAUUCUUGCCAAAUUUUUAUAAAACUUAUAACGCAGGUUUACAUCAACAAUGUAUUCGACUAUAUAGUUCGAUAUAUAAGCAGUUCUGAUCAUGUACAUGAUGUAUUUAUAAAAGAGAUAGAAUGUGUAUAAGCCAUUUAGAAUCAUUAAUUGGAAAAUCGCAUUGUCAGCGGAAUCAUUUGUACAAUUUGUGACAGAACUUUAUAAAACUUAUACGGUAGGUUAUAUUAUUAAUAUCUAAUACGAGUGUGAAAAGCAAUGCCAAUCGAUAAUUUUUAAUAGACGUGUUACGAAAUUGUAUCUACUCGACGCUGAGGUUGACAAAAAAUUAGACUUUAAAUGCCGGUAUCGGAUCAAAGCAAACAAGUUAUUUAAAUAUUUUAAUUAUCUGUGCAUCAUGGUGUUAAACUGCAUAGUAAUGAUAAAAAGAAAACAAACAAAAAUACUGAACUCAGAAGAAAAUUUAAUCGGAAAGUCCAUUAUAACAUGGCAAAAUCAAAAGACAAAACAGAUCAAUAACGAAUGGACAAGAACUGUCAUGUCCGCUUAUAUUUACUUCAAUAACACACGUCUUUUUAAAAACUUUAUCAUAGCUAAUUUCCUGUUGAAUAUUCCUUAAGGAACAAAUAUGAUAUAAUAAUUAUUCCGUGAAGAAUAAAUGAUAUAUACCCCGUUUAACUUUGGAAAUACAUUUCCUUGGAUUGUUUCUUUUGUUGACUAGUAUAUACUAAUCUGUUUGAUACCUACUAAGAAAAAGAUUGAUUUCCUUUAUAUUAUUUUCAUGUAAAAUGUGACCGGUUUGACCCAACAACAUCUAUAUAUAUUCCUGCAACCAAGUGAAACUAACAAUUUUUAGUAUGGCGUUCAUUAUCAUCUAUAUUUGUUUAGGGCCAGCUAGAAUUUCUCGCUAUUGAAGAUGUUGGUGACCCUCUGCUGUUGUUUUUUAUUUGGGCGGGUUGUUUGUCUCUUUGACACAUUCCCCAUUUCCAUUCUCAAUUUUAAAGUUUCAAAAUAUUCCGUUUUGUAACUUUCUGAAGUAAUGUACGAGGUAUGCCCCUUGGAAAAAAAAUUGUAACGAAAAUUGCCUUACAUUUGCCUUGAAGCGUUCAUUUCUUUAAGAUUAUUAUAAAAAGUUUUUAGAAUGACGAUAACCGAAAAAAAGUUGUUUUUGUAAUUGUCCUUGUUCCUCAACAGAUAAAAAAAACUUUGGUCAUCUUCUUUUUCUUUCUUUUUUAAAAUUUAAUGUUGUUUUUAUACAUGUACCAUGCAUACUCUUUAAAUAAAGUUUAACAACAUUUUAUGUGUUUUAGAAUUACAAAAACUAUAUGUGAAAAACUUCUAAAUUUUAUAGUCGAAGUGUUUCGAGUAGUUUUUGGGGAGUAUAGUUUCAAGUUUAACAUAUAUGUUUCUACCCUCGUGUGGAUCGUAUACUUGGUAAAUUAUAAGAACGACAAGUAUGCGGUGAUUGGAAGAUGAUUUUGGCCGCAGUGAAUUACUUAUUAUCGAGCAAAAAUAUUUAUAUUACGAUACAAAAACUGGUAUUUGCUGUUAGUUCGCUAAGCAUGCUGCAAAAAAGAGUUAUUGACUCGGAGGUCAGAAGCUUAUAGUAAGCCAACACGUCUUAUGUUAUGUAUGUCAUUUUCUUAAAAUUAGCUGUAAAAAUAAUGAUAUUGAAUUUAAAUGAAACUUGAACUUUAAAUUAUUAUUAAAGGCCUUAAAGAUAAAUUAAAUUAUAACCAAUAAAGUAUGCGAGACAUUUCAGAAUAUAUUAGAUAAAAUUGAGAAUGGAAUUGGGGAAUGUGAAAAAGAGACAACAACCCGACCAUAGAAAAAACACAACAGUAUUCAUGUAAGUACAUGCAAUCUAUUUUAGGAUUAUGGCCACCAAUUGGGGUAUUUGUGGUAUUUGUGAAAACCUUCAGAUUACCAAACCUUCAGUAGUAUGGUGUUCCGAAUGUGACGAAGGACUUUGUGGAGAGUGUAAGAAACAUCAUGCAGUUUCCAAGGCAUCAAAAAACCAUGAAACCGUUUCUAUCGCCAAAUACAAAAACUUACCCACCGAAGUCCUGCAAAUCUCUCAGACCUGCAAACUUCAUAAUGAGAAAUACGAGCUGUUUUGUGCAAAACACGAUUGUCCUUGCUGUAAGAAAUGUGUGAAAUCUCACAACGAUUGUAAAGGUUUAACUGACAUAAAUGAACUCAUAAAAAACGUAAAAACUUCAAACGCAUUUAAUGAAAUCGAACAAACCCUGCAGGAAGUCGUCGAGAAUAUUAAACGACUAAGCACAAACAGGAAUGAAAAUUUAAAAUCUAUAGAAAACAAGAAAAGAGAAAUUGAAGCAGCAAUAAAACAAACCAGGA
This 23114-nucleotide long non-coding RNA is filed under the name Mytilus galloprovincialis (Mediterranean mussel). Lineage: Eukaryota; Metazoa; Mollusca; Bivalvia; Mytilida; Mytilidae. The record is from RNAcentral.